RNAcentral lists this transfer RNA (71 nucleotides) under Ovis aries (sheep). It matches the Rfam family "tRNA". Rfam says of the family: Transfer RNA (tRNA) molecules are approximately 80 nucleotides in length. Lineage: Eukaryota; Metazoa; Chordata; Mammalia; Artiodactyla; Bovidae. The record is from Rfam by way of RNAcentral.
UCCCAGGUGGCUCAGUGAUAAAGAAUCUGCCUGCAAUGCAGGAAACCCAGGUUCGAUCCCUGGGUCGGGAA